Long non-coding RNA from Saccostrea cuccullata (small rock oyster), 746 nucleotides. RefSeq lists it as uncharacterized. The record is from RefSeq and is a predicted model, not a curated record. The transcript is spliced from 2 exons. NCBI's taxonomy places the organism in Eukaryota, Metazoa, Mollusca, Bivalvia, Ostreida, Ostreidae.
AUGAAACAAAAGCCCGUGAGAAAAUGUCAACAUCAAUCAUUUAUGAAUGAAGAUGGAGUCUCUAGCCUAAAAUUUCUUGAGAUAAUCAGUGUUGUCUGGUUCAUCCAAUCAGAAUGAUCACUCCAUUUGCAGACUAUCAGGUUCCAAUCUGAAGUAUACAAGGGAAGAGUAAAAUCUUUUUCAUUCCUAUUUACAAACACUUACUAGAUCCAGAAGAAUAUCCUGAUUGUUUUGUGCACCAUAAGAUGAAUUUCAAUCUGACACAUAAUUCUGAAAAAUUGAGUGGAACACCAUGAUCACUGGAUGGUCUUCUUCAAGCUGGCAUGUCUUUGUCACAAUAUCUUGACUCUGCAUUGCCAUCAAAACUUUGCAUUCCUUAAAAUACAAAGACAAUUUUUAUAAACUAAAACAACAGACUUGAUAAAAAGGCUAAUAUUAAAAAAAACGUGUCAUUAUUUACCCCAUUUUUUUCCUUUUUAAUUAUUUUAUGAAAUUAAAACCCUUGCAAAAAUUAGAACCUGCGACUUACUGUCAAGCAGAGGUGUCCGGAAAUAAGAUAAACAGCUCCUUUAAGUUGAAGAAUGCCGAGAAUAUCUGAAUGCUAUGGAUUCAUGGUGUCAUCAUACUGUAUAUAUCCACCACUGAAGCCUAAGAUAUAAAUGUUCGAAAGUAAUUAUAGUGAUCAUAUUUCUGGUACAGUGACAGCAAAUUUUAAGUAUUUUGUGAAUAAAAAAAUUGAAUCCACA